This 190-nucleotide ribosomal RNA is filed under the name uncultured Acidobacteriota bacterium. RNAcentral describes it as "uncultured Acidobacteria bacterium partial 16S ribosomal RNA". It matches the Rfam family "Bacterial small subunit ribosomal RNA", at positions 217 to 403 of the family's 1533-position model. Lineage: Bacteria; Pseudomonadati; Acidobacteriota. The record is from RNAcentral.
GCUUGAUGAGGGGCCCGCGUCCGAUUAGCUAGUUGGUGAGGUAAUGGCUCACCAAGGCAACGAUCGGUAGCCGGCCUGAGAGGGCGGACGGCCACCCUGGGACUGAGACACCGCCCCGAAUCCUCCUACGGGAGGCAGCAGUGGGGAAUUGUUCGCAAUGGGCGCAAGCCUGACGACGCAACGCCGCGUG